RNAcentral lists this non-coding RNA (24 nucleotides) under Arabidopsis thaliana (thale cress). Lineage: Eukaryota; Viridiplantae; Streptophyta; Magnoliopsida; Brassicales; Brassicaceae. The record is from RNAcentral.
AAACACGUUUCUGUUGACGAUGCC